Molecule: ribosomal RNA, 253 nt
Filed under: uncultured bacterium
Lineage: Bacteria
Description: partial 16S ribosomal RNA
Rfam family: Bacterial small subunit ribosomal RNA
Source: RNAcentral
UACGUAGGGGGCAAGCGUUGUCCGGAAUCAUUGGGCGUAAAGCGCGUGUAGGCGGUCCGGUAAGUCCGCUGUAAAAGUCGGGGGCUCAACCCUCGGAUGCCGGUGGAUACUGUCGGGCUUGAGUACGGAAGAGGCGAGUGGAAUUCCUGGUGUAGCGGUGAAAUGCGCAGAUAUCAGGAGGAACACCAAUUGCGAAGGCAGCUCGCUGGGACGUUACUGACGCUGAGACGCGAAAGCGUGGGGAGCAAACAGG